AGUGAACGCUGGCGGUAGGCCUAACACAUGCAAGUCGAACGGCAGCACAGUAAGAGCUUGCUCUUACGGGUGGCGAGUGGCGGACGGGUGAGGAAUACAUCGGAAUCUACUUUUUCGUGGGGGAUAACGUAGGGAAACUUACGCUAAUACCGCAUACGACCUACGGGUGAAAGCAGGGGAUCUUCGGACCUUGCGCGAUUGAAUGAGCCGAUGUCGGAUUAGCUAGUUGGCGGGGUAAAGGCCCACCAAGGCGACGAUCCGUAGCUGGUCUGAGAGGAUGAUCACCCACACUGGAACUGAGACACGGUCCAGACUCCUACGGGAGGCAGCAGUGGGGAAUAUUGGACAAUGGGCGCAAGCCUGAUCCAGCCAGACCGCGUGGGUGAAGAAGGCCCUCGGGUUGUAAAGCCCUUUUGUUGGGAAAGAAAAGCAGCAGGUUAAGACCCCGCUGUUCUGACGGAACCCAAAGAAUAAGCACCGGCUAACUUCGU
This 491-nucleotide ribosomal RNA is filed under the name uncultured bacterium. RNAcentral describes it as "partial 16S ribosomal RNA". It matches the Rfam family "Bacterial small subunit ribosomal RNA", at positions 29 to 506 of the family's 1533-position model. The record is from RNAcentral.